UAUGGGUAGGGGAGCGGUAAAAUGUUAUAAUCCUACCUGGACCACCUGUGGCGAAGGCGUCCGACCAGAACGGGUUCGACUGUGAGGGACGAAAGCUAGGGGAGCGAUCCGGAUUAGAUACCCGAGUAGUCCUAGCCGUAAACGCUGUGAGUUAGGUAUUGCAUAUUCUUCGUGAAUGUGCAGUGUCGUAGUGAAGACGUUAGACUCACCGCCUGGGAAGUACGGUCGCAAGACUGAAACUUAAAGGAAU
RNAcentral lists this ribosomal RNA (250 nucleotides) under uncultured archaeon. RNAcentral's name for it is "partial 16S ribosomal RNA". It matches the Rfam family "Archaeal small subunit ribosomal RNA", at positions 616 to 865 of the family's 1478-position model. The record is from RNAcentral.